RNAcentral lists this ribosomal RNA (301 nucleotides) under uncultured bacterium. RNAcentral describes it as "partial 16S ribosomal RNA". It matches the Rfam family "Bacterial small subunit ribosomal RNA", at positions 509 to 807 of the family's 1533-position model. The record is from RNAcentral.
CAGUAGCCACGGUAAUACAGAGGGUGCGAGCGUUAAUCGGAUUUACUGGGCGUAAAGCGUGCGUAGGCGGCUUUUUAAGUCGGAUGUGAAAUCCCUGAGCUUAACUUAGGAAUUGCAUUCGAUACUGGGAAGCUAGAGUAUGGGAGAGGAUGGUAGAAUUCCAGGUGUAGCGGUGAAAUGCGUAGAGAUCUGGAGGAAUACCGAUGGCGAAGGCAGCCAUCUGGCCUAAUACUGACGCUGAGGUACGAAAGCAUGGGGAGCAAACAGGAUUAGAGACCCCGGUAGUCCCUGUCUCUUAUAC